Molecule: ribosomal RNA, 394 nt
Filed under: Euscyrtus aff. bipunctatus ICCM-2015
Lineage: Eukaryota; Metazoa; Arthropoda; Insecta; Orthoptera; Gryllidae
Description: partial 12S ribosomal RNA
Source: RNAcentral
UAUUAUUCAAUAUGUAAAUUAAUUACCUGAGUAGUAGUAGUUAUAUUCUUGAAACUCAAAGAAUUUGGCGGUAUUUUAGUCUUUUUAGAGGAAUCUGUUCUGUAAUUGAUAAUACACGAUUAGUUUUACUUUAUUUUAUGAUUUGUAUAUCACCGUCGUAAGAAUAUCUUGUUGAGGGAUUAAAAAUUUCUUAAUAUAAAAAUUUUAUAAAAUGUCAGGUCAUGGUGCAGUUAAUAAUAAAGAAGUAAUGGAUUACAAUAAUUUUAGUUAAUAUGAAUAAAUAAUUUAAAUGUUAUUUUGAAGGUGGAUUUAAUUGUAAAUGUAUAUUUAAUUGAUAUUUUGAUUUUAGCUCUAAAAUGUGUACACAUUGCCCGUCGCUCUCAUAUAAAGUGAG